Molecule: microRNA precursor, 208 nt
Organism: Oryza sativa Indica Group (long-grained rice)
Lineage: Eukaryota; Viridiplantae; Streptophyta; Magnoliopsida; Poales; Poaceae
Rfam family: MIR812 microRNA precursor family
Source: Rfam
AAAAAGAUAAACUCUGGGUUUCCGUGCCAAUGUUUGACUAUCCGUCUUAUAUGAAAUUUUUUUUAUAAUUAGUAUUUUCAUUAUUGUUAGAUGAUAAAACAUGAUUAAUACUUUACGCGUGACGUAUCUUUUUAACUUUUUUUUAUAAUUUUUUCAAAUAAGACGAACGGUCAAACGUUGGACACGGAAACCAGUGUUUGUCUUUUUU